Molecule: unclassified non-coding RNA, 219 nt
Filed under: Hevea brasiliensis (rubber tree)
Lineage: Eukaryota; Viridiplantae; Streptophyta; Magnoliopsida; Malpighiales; Euphorbiaceae
Source: RNAcentral
GUUAAGAUUUCCUAGGAGUGUGAAAGAAAGGCCAUUCUGUGGUUCUAAUGAGGACAAGCAGCUGCGUUGGUGGAGGGCAGUGGCACUGCUCUUAUUAAUUGAGUUCACAUUUUCAACCUAGUGGGCCUAUUAGAGUUUUAUUGCUGAUGUUGGAAGCUGAUAUUACGUCCUGUUAAUAGGAUCGCUGGAAUGAGUCAAGCUGAUAAUACUUAUUCUGUU